Phrynosoma platyrhinos (Desert horned lizard) is the source of this 72-nucleotide non-coding RNA. The record is from the annotation of a GenBank genome assembly. NCBI's taxonomy places the organism in Eukaryota, Metazoa, Chordata, Lepidosauria, Squamata, Phrynosomatidae.
GCCAGCAUGGCAUAGUGGUUUGAGCAUUGGACUGUGACUCUGGAGACCAGGGUUUGAUUCCCAGCUAGGCCA